This 1398-nucleotide ribosomal RNA is filed under the name uncultured bacterium. Its description in RNAcentral is "16S ribosomal RNA". It matches the Rfam family "Bacterial small subunit ribosomal RNA". The record is from RNAcentral.
UAGAGUUUGAUCCUGGCUCAGGAUGAACGCUGGCUACAGGCUUAACACAUGCAAGUCGAGGGGCAGCAUGGGGUUUGCUUGCAAACCCCGAUGGCGACCGGCGCACGGGUGAGUAACGCGUAUCCAACCUUCCCGCGACUCGGGUAUAACCUGCCGAAAGGCAGACUAAUCCCCGAUGUCCUCCACUUUGGACAUCUUUGGUGGAGCAAAGGCUUCGGCCGGUUGCGGAUGGGGAUGCGUCCGAUUAGCUUGUUGGCGGGGCAAUGGCCCACCAAGGCUUCGAUCGGUAGGGGUUCUGAGAGGAAGGUCCCCCACAUUGGAACUGAGACACGGUCCAAACUCCUACGGGAGGCAGCAGUGAGGAAUAUUGGUCAAUGGGCGGAAGCCUGAACCAGCCAAGUAGCGUGCAGGAUGACGGCCCUAUGGGUUGUAAACUGCUUUUAUGCGGGGAUAACCGGGGCCACGCGUGGCCCCCUGCAGGUACCGCAUGAAUAAGGACCGGCUAAUUCCGUGCCAGCAGCCGCGGUAAUACGGAAGGUCCGGGCGUUAUCCGGAUUCAUUGGGUUUAAAGGGAGCGUAGGCCGUGGAUUAAGCGUGUUGUGAAAUGUAGGCGCUCAACGUCUGACUUGCAGCGCGAACUGGUCCACUUGAGUGUGUGCGACGCAGGCGGAAUUCGUGGUGUAGCGGUGAAAUGCUUAGAUAUCACGAAGAACCCCGAUUGCGAAGGCAGCCCGCUGUGGCGCCACUGACGCUGAGGCUCGAAGGUGCGGGUAUCGAACAGGAUUAGAUACCCUGGUAGUCCGCACGGUAAACGAUGGAUACCCGCUGUCCGGCCCGUAUGGUCUGGGCGGCCAAGCGAAAGCGUUAAGUAUCCCACCUGGGGAGUACGCCGGCAACGGUGAAACUCAAAGGAAUUGACGGGGGCCCGCACAAGCGGAGGAACAUGUGGUUUAAUUCGAUGAUACGCGAGGAACCUUACCCGGGCUUGAAUUGCAGACGAACGAUUCAGAGAUGAUGAGGCCUUUCGGGGCGUCUGUGAAGGUGCUGCAUGGUUGUCGUCAGCUCGUGCCGUGAGGUGUCGGCUUAAGUGCCAUAACGAGCGCAACCCCUUUCUUCAGUUGCCAUCAGGUAAUGCUGGGCACUCUGGAGACACUGCCACCGCAAGGUGUGAGGAAGGUGGGGAUGACGUCAAAUCAGCACGGCCCUUACGUCCGGGGCUACACACGUGUUACAAUGGCCGGUACAGAGAGUUGAUUUUGUGCAAACACGAUCUAAUCCUUAAAUCCGGUCCCAGUUCGGACUGGGGUCUGCAACCCGACCCCACGAAGCUGGAUUCGCUAGUAAUCGCGCAUCAGCCAUGGCGCGGUGAAUACGUUCCCGGGCCUUGUACACACCGCC